GCAGUGUUUCGGUCUGCCGCCGGCAUCCUUGCGAUGCGGGAGGAAAGUCCGGGCAGCGCAGGACGUUCCACUUCUGAAAAUGGAAGCUACCGGCGACGGUAGGUAGAGGUAGAAGAAAACAACCGCCAAGGCUCGCGCCGUGGUAAGGGUGAGAAGGUGGUGUAAGAGACCACCAGUCGAUGGGCGAUCAUCGAGCUGUGCCUCCUGGAAGCUGCAAGUUCGCGUAAACCGUCGUUUGAGGGUUGUCCGCCCGAAGAUGCUACGACGGAGGGUAGAAUGCUCAAGCUGCGGGGCGACUCGCAGCGUAGAUAAAUGGCAGACGCUUUCCGCUCACGACAACGUGAGGAAAGAACAGAACCCGGCUUAUAGAGACACUGCUUUC
Molecule: RNase P RNA, 382 nt
Filed under: Prevotella sp. oral taxon 475
Lineage: Bacteria; Pseudomonadati; Bacteroidota; Bacteroidia; Bacteroidales; Prevotellaceae
Description: RNase P RNA component class A
Rfam family: Bacterial RNase P class A
About the family: Ribonuclease P (RNase P) is a ubiquitous endoribonuclease, found in archaea, bacteria and eukarya as well as chloroplasts and mitochondria. Its best characterised activity is the generation of mature 5'-ends of tRNAs by cleaving the 5'-leader elements of precursor-tRNAs.
Source: RNAcentral